GACGAACGCUGGCGGCGUGCUUAACACAUGCAAGUCGAGCGGUAAGGCCCUUUCGGGGGUACACGAGCGACGAACGGGUGAGUAACACGUGGGUGACCUGCCCUUAGCUCUGGGAUAAGCCUGGGAAACUGGGUCUAAUACCGGAUAUGACUCCAUGACGCAUGUUGUGGGGUGGAAAGCCUUGUGCGGCUAGGGAUGGGCCCGCGGCCUAUCAGCUUGUUGGUGGGGUGAUGGCCUACCAAGGCGACGACGGGUAGCCGGCCUGAGAGGGCGACCGGCCACACUGGGACUGAGACACGGCCAGACUCCUACGGGAGGCAGCAGUGGGGAAUCUUGCGCAAUGGGCGAAAGCCUGACGCAGCGACGCCGCGUGGGGAUGACGGCCU
Molecule: ribosomal RNA, 386 nt
Filed under: uncultured bacterium
Lineage: Bacteria
Description: bacterial SSU rRNA
Rfam family: Bacterial small subunit ribosomal RNA
Source: RNAcentral